GACAAUUUACACGUCAUGUAUCAAAAGCACUGACCGAGACAAGUACUGACGCGUCUAACUUUGGUAGGAUCCGACCCAUCAGAAGUAAUGAGGUUUAAUGCACCAGAAAAACAUAUCUACAAGCCUUCGCUUUCACGUCUAGAAACUGGAAGAGGAGCUUGCACGCAAGUACUUCUCUCACAUUUUCUCUCUGAGGCCCAUGUUUUUUCUCUCUCCAAGACAAUUCCCCAGUCUCAAACUCUCAAUAACGAAAGCACAAAAAUUUCUCAUAAGCCAAUCCAAGAAAAGAAAAAAUCAUUAAGCAACUAAAACAUGGCUCUACUUGUCUCUGCCUCUUGCAUGCCCAAAUCUUUACUAUCACCAACAUCACUAAAACAAAUCUCCCUCAAAGCCCCAGCCCCUUUGUUUACUAGUGAAAAACUGCCAACGAGAUCUCUGAACUUCUCUCCCCUUAAAGUGGCAGCACCCCCAUCACCAUCUGUUGAGAAAGAAGAGGAAGAAGAAGAUAAAGAAGGGGACUUUAGAAUUGAUGAUGAGAGUGGAGAAGAGAGUUCUGACUCUAAGUUCUCUUGGAGGGAUCACUGGUACCCGGUUUCCUUGGUUGAGGAUUUGGACCCUUGUUUGCCAACCCCAUUUCAGCUUCUGGAUCGAGACUUAGUUCUUUGGUUUGAUAAGGCCAGUCAAGAAUGGGUUACUUUUGAUGAUAAGUGUCCCCACAGGCUCGCUCCUUUAUCUGAAGGGCGGAUUGAUGAGAAUGGGCAUUUGCAAUGUUCAUACCAUGGAUGGUCAUUUGAUGGGUGCGGAUCUUGCACAAGUAUACCGCAGGCCUUGCCUGAGGGUCCUGAAGCUCGUGCAGUUAAGUCCCCCAGAGCUUGUGCUACCAGAUUUCCUUCAAUGGUGUCCCAAGGUCUUCUCUUUGUUUGGCCAGACGAAAAUGGAUGGGAAAGAGCUAAGGCAACCAAGCCUCCAAUGUUACCAGAUGACUUUGAUAAACCUGAGUUCUCAGCAGUUACAAUUCAGCGUGAUUUGUUCUAUGGCUAUGAUACACUCAUGGAGAAUGUCUCUGAUCCUUCCCACAUUGAUUUUGCUCAUCACAAGGUAGAAUUAUGAAUCUAAGAAUCAUCAUUAGAGAUUUGUUCAUUUAGUAUCUGAUAGAGAUUAGGAGCAAGAGAAAUAAAUUGAAAGUACUUUUGUGUUACUUAGCAACAGAACAUAUUACAACUCAAGCAACUCUUACAAAUUAGAAAUGACUUAACAACAAAUAAGUCUAAGGAAUCCUCUAGGAAUUCUCUAAGCCCAGCAACAGCCAGAAAAAAAAAAAAAGUAAAAUCAGAAUACUCAAUACCCCUCAUUACAACUCUCCUUUCUUUAAAUAAAAACCUCAUGUACUAAUUUGUUAUUCUAGCCUGCCAACUAGCUACUAUAUUCCCAUAGCAGUAACAACCGCAUGUCCUUGCCUCAGCAACCCUGAGGCUUUUAGAAUUCCUUUGCUGUUGGUGCCUCUAAAUUUCUUUCUUGAAUAUACCUUCAGCUGCCCUGGCCCAACUGGUACUUGGCCCAUUUGCUGAUUACCCCUAUCUGUAUCAGAAGGUUUAUAGCUUGCAUGGGGUUUGAGGAAUUUACUACAUAGUUUAAGUAGUGCUGAGCUUCAAUAUUGUUAAGUUGAAUCAUGGGUUCCUUGUUGCAUAUGCAAUCCUGAUGACCUAACUAGUUUCUCAGGUUUCAAGAACACUUUUUGUGAAACAUUCAUUAGAAUUUGGCUGGGAUUGAAUAGGUGAUUAUAUCUCUCUCCCCUCUCCCCCCUCCCCCUGCCCCAACCUGCCUGUUUCCUACUGGAAAAAAUUAGUUUUGUGUGUAUGUAAUGUAAUCCAUGCUUUGAGCGAUCUCUUUUCACAUUCUAAUGCAAAUCUGUCGGUGGAAUUUAUGCAUAUUUUUUGGCAAAUUGUCUUUUGCUACUUGACCAUCUGCAUUUAUUUUCAUUCGGUGACAUGAAUUCUGAAAGUCACAAUGAUUUACUACGCAUCCAGUUUUACAUUCUGAUAAAUGCUGUUUAAUGUGGAAAGAGUCCUUGUUGUGAGGACAAUUGUUCACUCGCUAUCACUUUCUGUGAGAAAUGAAUCUCCAGGUUACAGGAAGGAGAGAGAGAGCCAAGCCUUUGCCAUUUAAGUUGGAAGCUAGUGGGCCUUGGGGCUUUGCUGGGGCUAAUGAUGGAAAUCCACGGAUCAGUGCUAAGUUUGUUGCACCUUGUUACUACAUGAAUAAAGUAGAGAUAGACGCAAAACUUCCUAUAGUUGGUGAUCAGAAAUGGAAAAUAUGGAUUUGUUCCUUCAACGUGCCAAUGGCACCUGGGAAGACACGUUCAAUUGUUUGUAGCGCUCGAAACUUCUUCCAAUUAACAAUGCCAGGGCCUGCUUGGUGGCAGGUGUAUACCUUUCAGCCUUCUUUUUUGGCUUCCAAUAGCAAUUAUAUGGUAUUCCAAUACGUCAACUAAGUUUUUUAUGGCAUGAUCCAUGAUUAUUCUUUUUGUCAUUCAAUAUUUUUGUGGGAUCUUAUAAAAUUAUUUUGUUAUCUUGUUAAGAAUUUUCAAUCAUCUUCCUUGUCAGGUGUAAUAAUCACCUGUCCUCCAUUGGGUCUUCAUUUAACAUAGCAUAGCUUAAAACAUCUGAGAAAUCAUUCCAAAAAGCACUCAGGUGUUGAGGGUUUAGAUGACAAAUCUUUCCUUUUAUUCUUCAUUGAAAAUAUGGUUCUGAUAAUUACAAUGAUUAGUCUAUUCAUGAAAAUAGUGUUGACAUCUAUAAGAAGUCCCAAGCAUUUAAUCCAUCAUAUCAAUAAGGCAGGUUUUAGUCCACUCUGGAAAUUAAGCAGGUUGGUUUACAUGAACUUUGAUAUUUUUGUAAGGAAAACAUUACAGCAUCAGUAUUCAUAAUUUUUUACCUGCCUAGAUAUGCAUUCCCAGCUUCAUCAUGUUUCUCACCAUAAUUAGCUUCCUUCUGCUUGGAAAGUGAAUUGUCAAAAUCGAGCUAUCUUUCCCAUUAAGCUAGCUUGAUUCCUUAGUGUCUGUUGUCCUUGUGAAUUUCGAUGAAACUAAACUCAGUUUUGUUUAUGUUAGGUGGUUCCAAGGUGGCACGAGCACUGGACCUCAAAUAAGGUAUAUGAUGGAGACAUGAUUGUUCUUCAGGGUCAGGAGAAGAUCUUUCUUUCCAAAUCAAAGGACGGUUCCACUGAUGUGAAUCAAGAUUACACAAAGCUCACAUUCACACCCACUCAAGCAGAUCGCUUUGUAUUAGCAUUUCGAAAUUGGCUGAGGCGGCAUGGCAACAGCCAACCUGAGUGGUUUGGCUUCAGUAAUCAACAGCCUUUGCCUUCAACAGUCCUGUCCAAACGCCAGAUGUUGGAUAGAUUUGAGCAGCACACCCAGCAGUGCUCAUCAUGUAAAAGGGCUUAUACAGCAUUCCAGGCUUUAGAAAAAUUUCUAAUUGGAGCAACUGUUUUCUUCUCUGCAACAGCUGGGAUUCCCUCAGAUUUGCAGUUUAGAGUUUUCCUGGCUGGACUUGCAAUUUUAAGUGCUGGUUUGGCUUACAUCUUGAAUCAACUUGAGAGAAACUUUGUAUAUGUUGAUUACGUACAUGCUGAAAUUGAAUGAGAGAUAGAACACAAUUGUAGAAUUCAAUCAUUUUUGUAAAAUUUUAUAGAGAAAUUUGUACUCAAUUCAGAUUGAAAUUACCAAAAUAUGAUAGCUUUCAUUUCCAUUUCAGUUCAUGACACUAGAUUAGUUACAACAUAGAACUCAGCCUUUACAAUCAGAAAGACCAAAUUUUUAUCCCUAAAAAAGGAAACCCUAACCUAAGAGCUAGUGAACUUCGUGACCGCCUUAGUACCCUCCGAAACGGCGUGCUUAGCAAGCUCUCCUGGCAAAACAAGUCUCACUGCAGUCUGGAUCUCCCUAGAAGUAAUGGUGGGCUUCUUGUUAUACCUAGCAAGCCGAGAGGAUUCCUGAGCAAGCUUCUCAAAGAUGUCGUUGAUGAAGCUAUUCAUGAUUCCCAUGGCUUUGCUCGAGAUCCCAAUAUCUGGGUGAACCUGUUUCAAGACCUUGAAGAUGUAGAUUUUGUAGGUCUCCACACUCUUCUUUGUACGCUUCUUCUUCUUGUCAGCAGCGGAGCCGCCAUCCUUGGGCAACUUCUUCUCUGCUCUCGGCUUCUUCUCCGCCGGUGCCUUCUCAGCCUUCUUUUCUUCCGCUGGCUUCUUCUCCGCCUGUUUCUUCUCUGCCUUUGGUGCCAUCUGACAAUGGAAAAAGAUUGAUGCUCUGAUUUACAAGAGAGAGACACUGC
This 4328-nucleotide unclassified non-coding RNA is filed under the name Hevea brasiliensis (rubber tree). The record is from RNAcentral. Lineage: Eukaryota; Viridiplantae; Streptophyta; Magnoliopsida; Malpighiales; Euphorbiaceae.